GACAGAGGGUGCAAACGUUUGUUCGGAAUUACUGGGCGUAAAGCGCGUGUAGGCGGCUAAGUAAGUCGGGCGUGAAAUCCCACGGCUCAACCGUGGAAGUGCACUCGAAACUGCAUAGCUAGAGUCCUGGAGAGGAAGGUGGAAUGCUUGGUGUAGAGGUGAAAUUCGUAGAUAUCAAGCGGAACACCGGUGGCGAAGGCGGCCUUCUGGACAGUGACUGACGCUGAGACGCGAAAAGCGGUGGGG
This 246-nucleotide ribosomal RNA is filed under the name uncultured bacterium. RNAcentral describes it as "partial 16S ribosomal RNA". It matches the Rfam family "Bacterial small subunit ribosomal RNA", at positions 524 to 768 of the family's 1533-position model. The record is from RNAcentral.